GAAAGUCCCCUUCGGGGGACGAGUAGAGUGGCGUCCGGGUGAGUAACACGUAGGUAAUCUACCUUCGGGUGGGGAAUAACGCAGGGAAACUUGCGCUAAUACCGCAUAAUGCAGCGGCACCACAUGGUGACAGUUGUUAAAGCGGGGGAUUUUCGGACCUCGCGCCUGAAGAGGAGUCUGCGGCAGAUUAGCUAGUUGGUAGGGUAACGGCUUACCAAGGCGAGGAUCAGUAGCCGACCUGAGAGGGUGACCGGCCACACUGACACUGACAUACGGGUCAGGAUACAUACGGGAGGCAGCAGUGGGAUCUGNCGGAAAACUCGAGC
Molecule: small RNA, 326 nt
Filed under: uncultured bacterium
Lineage: Bacteria
Description: bacterial SSU rRNA
Rfam family: Bacterial small subunit ribosomal RNA
Source: RNAcentral